CGAACGGAACUGUUUUGAAAGAUCUCUUCGGAAUGAAUUUGAUUUAGUUUAGUGGCGGACGGGUGAGUAACGCGUGAGUAACCUGCCUUCAAGAGGGGGAUAACAUUCUGAAAAGAAUGCUAAUACCGCAUGACAUAUCGGAACCACAUGGUUCUGAUAUCAAAGAUUUUAUCGCUUGAAGAUGGACUCGCGUCCGAUUAGUUAGUUGGUGAGGUAACGGCUCACCAAGACCGCGAUCGGUAGCCGGACUGAGAGGUUGAACGGCCGCAUUGGGACUGAGACACGGCCCAGACUCCUACGGGAGGCAGCAGUGGGGGAUAUUGCGCAAUGGGGGCAACCCUGACGCAGCAACGCCGCGUGAAGGAUGAAGGUUUUCGGAUUGUAAACUUCUUUUAUUAAGGACGAAAAACGACGGUACUUAAUGAAUAAGCUCCGGCUAACUACGUGCCAGCAGCCGCGGUAAUACGUAGGGAGCAAGCGUUGUCCGGAUUUACUGGGUGUAAAGGGUGCGUAGGCGGCUUUGCAAGUCAGAUGUGAAAUCUAUGGGCUCAACCCAUAAACUGCAUUUGAAACUGUAGAGCUUGAGUGAAGUAGAGGCAGGCGGAAUUCCCCGUGUAGCGGUGAAAUGCGUAGAGAUGGGGAGGAACACCAGUGGCGAAGGCGGCCUGC
Molecule: ribosomal RNA, 669 nt
Filed under: uncultured Lachnospiraceae bacterium
Lineage: Bacteria; Bacillati; Bacillota; Clostridia; Lachnospirales; Lachnospiraceae
Description: bacterial SSU rRNA
Rfam family: Bacterial small subunit ribosomal RNA
Source: RNAcentral